CGUUAGCGGCGGACGGGUGAGUAACACGUGGGUAACCUACCUAUAAGACUGGGAUAACUUCGGGAAACCGGAGCUAAUACCGGAUAAUAUUUUGAACCGCAUGGUUCGAUAGUGAAAGAUGGUUUUGCUAUCACUUAUAGAUGGACCUGCGCCGUAUUAGCUAGUUGGUAAGGUAACGGCUUACCAAGGCGACGAUACGUAGCCGACCUGAGAGGGUGAUCGGCCACACUGGAACUGAGACACGGUCCAGACUCCUACGGGAGGCAGCAGCG
This 272-nucleotide ribosomal RNA is filed under the name uncultured Staphylococcus sp. RNAcentral's name for it is "partial 16S ribosomal RNA". It matches the Rfam family "Bacterial small subunit ribosomal RNA", at positions 90 to 356 of the family's 1533-position model. The record is from RNAcentral. Lineage: Bacteria; Bacillati; Bacillota; Bacilli; Caryophanales; Staphylococcaceae.